CUCGGUAUCAUUGCCGGAAGUUCUCCGCAUUCAAGCAGUGGAAACUUUCAGCUCAGAUGCACAGUGAAACCGACAGCCAGGAGAUCACAGACUUUGGUCUAGGUAAGAGAUGCUACUGUGACGGGAUAGAAGGUCCAGUUGAAAGUUUUGGAUACGAAAUACGUGGUCACUGGUCAAAGGUCAAGGCCUGGAGCAACCGAAUACGAAUUCUGGAAUGUCUGUAGAGUGACUGGAGAGAAAAAUGUAAAAUUUUCUCAGUCAACCAACGAGAUUUGAAAACACGGAUGACCUCAGUUGCGAGAGAGAUGACUUCAUGAAGCUUGAAACCUCGACAGCCCUCGACACUCGGCGUCAGAACUCCGAAGCUACGAAGUAUUUCACUAGCAUUUGUCCCGCUCUGGUAGGACUCCUUGGAUGAGGGAUCGGCCCUUCGCGAGGCCUCUACCUGUACACAACACAGCAUCCAUGGCUUGAGUGGGAUUCGAACCCACGGUCCCAGCGGCACAAGGCCCACGACACUGUGACGACUAAAUGAAAAAUAUUCAUGACCAUUUUAACCAGAGAAUACGAAAGUCAUUUAUGUUUUCAAUUAUCUGUAUGACAAAACAAAAUUGUAAGUACUUGCCGACUCGCCUUUGACUCAUUAUAAUGUUCAAUCCACUCGUCGGGAACAAAGCAACUCAGGCCGGUAUUGGUACACGGACCUUUGCUUACAGACCUCCACUAAGAGGAUUUCCCUCACUGAAUUUCUGCCCACUCGACGGGGCAGAGCUCUUUCGUCACAGGAAAGAAGCCAAACCACGACUAAUUCCGGUCCGACGCUCAAAUCGGAUCAGGAACGUCGCCGUCGCUUGCUGGAAGUAAGGCCUCAUUUCGAAACGUCGUAAGCCGAUAUAAUUAUCAGCGUCCUGUCUCGCAGUUACGAACGCACGCAGCUGUGACGUCACGUGGUCUUUCAUUUGGAUAAACAACGUUUCGGAGGAACAUAUCGUCUUCUUUUUCAGGGCGAAAGAUGAAGCGGAACUUUUUUUUAGUGUUCUGU
Long non-coding RNA from Zootermopsis nevadensis, 1042 nucleotides. RefSeq lists it as uncharacterized. Lineage: Eukaryota; Metazoa; Arthropoda; Insecta; Blattodea; Termopsidae. The record is from RefSeq and is a predicted model, not a curated record.